This 472-nucleotide ribosomal RNA is filed under the name Bacillus sp. (in: firmicutes). RNAcentral's name for it is "bacterial SSU rRNA". It matches the Rfam family "Bacterial small subunit ribosomal RNA", at positions 57 to 509 of the family's 1533-position model. Lineage: Bacteria; Bacillati; Bacillota; Bacilli; Caryophanales; Bacillaceae. The record is from RNAcentral.
GCCAAGUCGAGCGGACCGACGGGAGCUUGCUCCCUUAGGUCAGCGGCGGACGGGUGAGUAACACGUGGGUAACCUGCCUGUAAGACUGGGAUAACUCCGGGAAACCGGGGCUAAUACCGGAUGCUUGAUUGAACCGCAUGGUUCAAUCAUAAAAGGUGGCUUUUAACUUCCACUUACCGAUGGACCCGCGGCGCAAUAACUUGUUUGUGAGGUAACGGCUCACCAAGGCGACCAUUCGUAACCCACCUGAAAGGGUGAUCGGCCACACUGGGACUGAAACACGGCCCAAACUCCUACCGGAGGCAGCAAUAGGGAAUCUUCCCCAAUGGACGAAAGUCUGACCGAACAACCCCCCGGGAGUGAUGAAAGUUUUCCGAUCCUAAAACUCUUUUGUUAGGGAAAAACAAGUACCGUUCGAAUAAGGCGGCACCUUGACCGUUCCUAACCCGAAAGCCACGGCUAAAUACCUGCC